UUGGUAUAAACACUUCCAAUA
RNAcentral lists this non-coding RNA (21 nucleotides) under Caenorhabditis elegans. Lineage: Eukaryota; Metazoa; Nematoda; Chromadorea; Rhabditida; Rhabditidae. The record is from RNAcentral.